CGCGUAGGUGGUAGUGAAAGUCUAUGGUGGAAUCUUAGGGCUUAACCCUAAAACUGCCUUGGAAACUUCAUUACUUGAGUCAGUGAGGGGAGGGUAGAAUUCCUGGUGUAGCGGUGAAAUGCGUAGAUAUCAGGAGGAAGGCCGGUGGCGAAGGCGGCCCUCUGGCGCUGAACUGACGCUGAGGCGCGAAAGCGUGGGUAGCAAACAGGAUUAGAUACCCUGGUAGUCCACGCCCUAAACGGUGGGUACUAUGUGUAGGGCUCGUAAGGGUUCUGUGCCGAAGGGAAACCAUUAAGUACCCCGCCUGGGGAGUACGGCCGCAAGGUUGAA
Molecule: ribosomal RNA, 330 nt
Filed under: uncultured bacterium
Lineage: Bacteria
Description: bacterial SSU rRNA
Rfam family: Bacterial small subunit ribosomal RNA
Source: RNAcentral